GGCAGCUCUAGUCUCAGCCAUGCUACCAUGUCAAAUGCCAAAAUGAACUAUUCAAACAGACACCUCCUCCUUGCAGACACAGCAAUCCUGCAAGAGAAAGAAAAAGAGAGGGAGGGUCAGGGCAAUGUGAUCAAGCGAUCCCCCCUCUCGUACUCCAUUUUGCAGAUGACACACCUAGAUGCAGACAUGAGGAAGAAUUAAAGAGGAGAAUAGCAUGAUCACAAUUGAGAAGCUAGUUUUGGAAAGGUUACAGGUAUCAGCGGCCAGGCACUAUCAACUGCAUAGCUAUGGUCUUUUAUUUGCACAUGCAUGUGUGUCUAUGUGCCCAUGCUUAUCACUUGCAGAUAAAGGUUGUGCUGAAUAGAACUUAUAAUUGAAGUUUAUAGUUAUCUUA
This is a long non-coding RNA of Populus nigra (black poplar), 394 nucleotides long. RefSeq lists it as uncharacterized. NCBI's taxonomy places the organism in Eukaryota, Viridiplantae, Streptophyta, Magnoliopsida, Malpighiales, Salicaceae. The record is from RefSeq and is a predicted model, not a curated record. The transcript has 2 exons.